CACCCAUCCCAGAAGAGUCAGGCCGGAGAGCCAGCCGGUAGGUGAGGUUGGCGGCGAACCGAGCCGGCAGCGAACUGCUCUGCGGCCGGGGAAGUGGAAGGCAGUCUCCUUCCACGGUCUCCCUCUGAUGCCGAGCCAAGGCUGGACGGUGCUGCUGCCAUCUCGGCUCACUGCAGCCUCCCUGCCUGAUUCUCCUGCCUCAGCCUGCUACGCCUCACUGGUUUUCUUUUUUUUUUUUGGUGGAGACGGGGUUUUGCUGUGUUGGCCGGGCUGGUCUCCAGCUCCUAGCCGCGAGUGAUCCGCCAGCCUCGGCCUCCCGGGGUGCCGGGAUUGCGGACGGAGUCUCGUUCACUCAGUGCUCAGUGGUGCCCAGGCUGGAGUGCAGUGGCGUGAUCUCGGCUCGCUACAGCCUCCACCUCCCAGCCGCCUGCCUUGGCCCCCCAAAGUGCCGAGAUUGCAGCCUCUGCCCAGCCGCCACCCCGUCUGGGAAGUGAGGAGCGUCUCUGCUUGGCCACCCAUCGUCUGG
RNAcentral lists this long non-coding RNA (526 nucleotides) under Homo sapiens (human). Lineage: Eukaryota; Metazoa; Chordata; Mammalia; Primates; Hominidae. The record is from RNAcentral.